AAUAUCAAAUUUAACUUGAAAUCAACAAAGAAAAAAAUGUUUCUCUCUCGAAAUUUUCGGCGACGACACUGACGAAUUGGCGACGACGACGACGGUGUUAAAAACACGGCGAUUCUACGUCGACAACACUCUUAACAAUCAAAAUUGAAGCUUAUGCAUAUUUAUAGGCUUGGAGCUUCUAUUGUCGGCACUUCACUUCACCACAUGGAUUAUGAUUUACGGAUCUGAUUUUUGAAUCCACAAACUCCUGCUAUAGACAUGCAAUGUUCAGGUGUUGAAGAAAUCUGCGGUGGUUCUGCCUACGACCCUGCCUACUACACCUUUCUUUUUGAAGAGACCCAAACCAAUAUGAAUUCACCAAAGCUGAAGAGAAAAACCAUUACAUGAGAAGUUGUUCUGCUUAAGACAAAGCUCUAUUGUGUUUGUUGUCCAGCGUUGGAAAGGUCAUUGGAAGUUGUUGGAGCUCAAAUCAAAGGCUGCUAAAUUUUGGGAACGCAAGGUUUUAAGGUAAUGUACCUUGGAUUAUGUUAUUUUCUAGACAAUGUUGAUUAUGUGUGGUAUUUUAUCCGCAAUCUUAGUAUUCCUGAGUGUUAUUGAGAUGAGUUUGUUUGUGAAAAUUUGUGGGUUUUUUUUAGUUCCAGGAAGGUGUUUCAAACUUUCAGUAUAGCUUUCCAGAAAAUCCGAUACUAGAAAUUUUGAAUGUUUUUUUUGACUUGGUUACGCAUGACAACAACGCGAUGGGAGAUUCAAUACCUGUCAUGCUAAGACUAUGUUUUUGAAAUUUGAUGUUGAGUUGGACAAGUAAGAAGUUUGUGAUGAAUGAUGACGACGUUUGUUUCAUUUAGGUUGUUAUUAAAAAAAAAUUAGGAUGUCUUGAAGCA
Molecule: long non-coding RNA, 881 nt
Organism: Brassica napus (rape)
Lineage: Eukaryota; Viridiplantae; Streptophyta; Magnoliopsida; Brassicales; Brassicaceae
Exons: 3
Source: RefSeq, a predicted model, not a curated record